RNAcentral lists this ribosomal RNA (253 nucleotides) under uncultured bacterium. Its description in RNAcentral is "partial 16S ribosomal RNA". It matches the Rfam family "Bacterial small subunit ribosomal RNA", at positions 524 to 776 of the family's 1533-position model. The record is from RNAcentral.
UACGAAGGGGGCUAGCGUUGUCCGGAAUUAUUGGGCGUAAAGGGCUCGUAGGCGGUCUGUCGCGUCGGGAGUGAAAACUCAGGGCUUAACCCUGAGCCUGCUUCCGAUACGGGCAGACUAGAGGUAUGCAGGGGAGAACGGAAUUCCUGGUGUAGCGGUGAAAUGCGCAGAUAUCAGGAGGAACACCGGUGGCGAAGGCGGUUCUCUGGGCAUUACCUGACGCUGAGGAGCGAAAGUGUGGGGAGCGAACAGG